RNAcentral lists this ribosomal RNA (1279 nucleotides) under 'Chrysanthemum morifolium' little leaf and yellowing phytoplasma. RNAcentral describes it as "bacterial SSU rRNA". It matches the Rfam family "Bacterial small subunit ribosomal RNA", at positions 180 to 1454 of the family's 1533-position model. Lineage: Bacteria; Bacillati; Mycoplasmatota; Mollicutes; Acholeplasmatales; Acholeplasmataceae. The record is from RNAcentral.
AUUAGAAGGCAUCUUUUAUUUUUUAAAAGACCUUUUUCGAAAGGUAUACUUAAAGAGGGGCUUGCGGCACAUUAGUUAGUUGGUAGGGUAAAAGCCUACCAAGACCAUGAUGUGUAGCUGGACUGAGAGGUUGAACAGCCACAUUGGGACUGAGACACGGCCCAAACUCCUACGGGAGGCAGCAGUAGGGAAUUUUCGGCAAUGGAGGAAACUCUGACCGAGCAACGCCGCGUGAACGAUGAAGUAUUUCGGUAUGUAAAGUUCUUUUAUUGAAGAAGAAAAAAUAGUGGAAAAACUAUCUUGACGAUAUUCAAUGAAUAAGCCCCGGCAAACUAUGUGCCAGCAGCCGCGGUAAUACAUAGGGGGCGAGCGUUAUCCGGAAUUAUUGGGCGUAAAGGGUGCGUAGGCGGUUUGGUAAGUCUAUAGUUUAAUUUCAGUGCUUAACACUGUUCUGCUAUAGAAACUAUCAGACUAGAGUGAGAUAGAGGCAAGUGGAAUUCCAUGUGUAGCGGUAAAAUGCGUAAAUAUAUGGAGGAACACCAGAGGCGUAGGCGGCUUGCUGGGUCUUUACUGACGCUGAGGCACGAAAGCGUGGGGAGCAAACAGGAUUAGAUACCCUGGUAGUCCACGCCGUAAACGAUGAGUACUAAGUGUCGGGGAAACUCGGUACUGAAGUUAACACAUUAAGUACUCCGCCUGAGUAGUACGUACGCAAGUAUGAAACUUAAAGGAAUUGACGGGACUCCGCACAAGCGGUGGAUCAUGUUGUUUAAUUCGAAGAUACACGAAAAACCUUACCAGGUCUUGACAUACUCUGCAAAGCUAUAGCAAUAUAGUGGAGGUUAUCAGGGAUACAGGUGGUGCAUGGUUGUCGUCAGCUCGUGUCGUGAGAUGUUAGGUUAAGUCCUAAAACGAGCGCAACCCUUGUCACUAGUUGCCAGCAUGUUAUGAUGGGCACUUUAGUGAGACUGCCAAUGAAAAAUUGGAGGAAGGUGAGGAUCACGUCAAAUCAUCAUGCCCCUUAUGAUCUGGGCUACAAACGUGAUACAAUGGCUGUUACAAAGAGUAGCUAAAACGCGAGUUUAAAGCCAAUCUCAUAAAAGCAGUCUCAGUUCGGAUUGAAGUCCGCAACUCCACUUCAUGAAGUUGGAAUCGCUAGUAAUCGCGAAUCAGCAUGUCGCGGUGAAUACGUUCUCGGGGUUUGUACACACCGCCCGUCAAACCACGAAAGUUGGUAAUACUCAAAAACGGUAGCCUAACUUCUUCGGAAGAGGGAACU